GUUUCCGUAGUGUAGUGGUUAUCACGUUCGACUCACACUCAAAAGGUCCCCGGUUUGAAACCGGGCGUGAAACA
Molecule: non-coding RNA, 74 nt
Organism: Callithrix jacchus (white-tufted-ear marmoset)
Lineage: Eukaryota; Metazoa; Chordata; Mammalia; Primates; Cebidae
Source: Rfam